Molecule: small nuclear RNA, 121 nt
Filed under: Helianthus annuus (common sunflower)
Lineage: Eukaryota; Viridiplantae; Streptophyta; Magnoliopsida; Asterales; Asteraceae
Description: U5 spliceosomal RNA
Rfam family: U5 spliceosomal RNA
About the family: U5 RNA is a component of both types of known spliceosome. The precise function of this molecule is unknown, though it is known that the 5' loop is required for splice site selection and p220 binding, and that both the 3' stem-loop and the Sm site are important for Sm protein binding and cap methylation.
Source: RNAcentral
AGCCACUCAGUGAGUACAAAGCGAACUAUUCUUUCGCCUUUUACUAAAGAAUACCGUGUACUCGUUGCUUUUAAGUGGCAUACGCCUAUUUUUGGAGAGUCUCUUUUUUUUAUUAAAGGGC